CCGCUGAAUUUAAGCAUAUCAGUAAGCGGAGGAAAAGAAACUAACAAGGAUUCCCUUAGUAAUGGCGAGUGAACAGGGAAUAGCUCAGAACCGAAUCCCUCAGCUUUUAGUUGUUGGGAAAUGUGGUGUUUGGGUUUGCUUUCGCGGCGGUUUGCUCAUCGUAGAUCCACAUGAUUGUGGUUCAUUGCCCAUAGAGGGUGUAAGGCCCGUAACGAUGAAGUGACUGCUGCUUGGGCAAAACCCUAGAGUCGGGUUGUUUGGGAUUGCAGCCCAAAGUGGGUGGUAAACUCCAUCCAAAGCUAAAUAUGAGCAUGAGUCCGAUAGUAAACAAGUACCGUGAGGGAAAGUUGAAAAGGACUUUGAAGAGAGAGUUCAAUAGUACGUGAAACCGCUCAGAGGUAAGCGGGUAGAGCCCAAAUUAGCUUGUGGUUUUAGAUUCUUCUGAUGCUAGCAUGCUGCUUGACGGACUUGUCUGACGUCGGUGGUAUGACUGGGUGUUGGUUGGUCGAUUGCCACUUGCUUUAACUACCAUCAGCGAGUGAUGGGUUGGCUGUGGAGUUGCUGCUGGCCGGUGCUUUUAUUAGUGCUGGUUUAGACACUUUGCGCUUGCCUGUUGGUUGCUGGGCUAAACGACAUAAUUUGUGCAAGUGUACGCACGAUUCGUUAACUGGCAGGUGACUCCCAAAGAGUUGCUUUGCUUGUUAGUGGGUUGACGUGUGCAUCUCUGUGCUUAUGUCAGCAAUGGUGGUUAUUUGUAGGCCGUCUACCCGGCCCGUCUUGAAACACGGACCAAGGAGUCUAACACAUACGCGAGUCAUUGGGUAGUACGAAACCUACUGGCGUACUGAAAGGAAAGGUCUGCUUUGGUAGACUCAGGUGAGAUCUGCGUUCUCUUGGGGAUGCAGCGCAUCACCGGCUCGUCUCAUGCUUUUUAAGUGGGGCGAAGCAAGAGCGUAUGUGUUGGGACCCGAAAGAUGGUGAACUAUGCUUGCGUAGGCUGAAGCCAAGUGAAAACUUGGUGGAGGGCCGAAGCGCUUCUGACGUGCAAAUCGAUCGUCAAACGUGAGUAUAGGGGCGAAAGACUAAUCGAACCAUCUAGUAGCUGGUUACUUCCGAAGUUUCCCUCAGGAUAGCUGGCACUCGGGAAACAAACAGUUUUAUCCGGUAAAGCGAAUGAUUAGAAGUAUUGGGGGUGAAAUGCCCUCAACUUAUUCUCAAACUUUAAAUGGGUAAGAUGCUCCACUCGCUUGACUGGAGUGGGGCCAUGAAUGUGAGUGCCCAGUGGGCCAUUUUUGGUAAGCAGAACUGGCGAUGUGGGAUGAACCAAACGUGGCGGUUACGGUGCCUGACAUGACGCUCAUCAGAUACCACAAAAGGUGUUGGUUGAUAUAGACAGCAGGACGGUGGCCAUGGAAGUCGGAAUCCGCUAAUGAGUGUGUAACAACUCACCUGCCGAAUCAACCAGCCCUGAAAAUGGAUGGCGCUGGAGCGUCGGACCUAUACCGCGCCCUUACUGCGAUGCAUGGCAUGGAUGUAGUAAGGAGUAGGAAGUCGACGAGGUAAGCAUGGAAGCUGCGGUCGUAGGGCCGAGUCGAGCUGCCUCGUGUGCAGAUCUUGGUGGUAGUAGCAAGUAUUCAAGUGAGACUCUUGAAGGCCGACGUGGAGAAGGGUUCCAUGUGAACAGC
This 1685-nucleotide ribosomal RNA is filed under the name Kytorhynchidae sp. 2 NVS-2013. RNAcentral's name for it is "eukaryotic LSU rRNA". It matches the Rfam family "Eukaryotic large subunit ribosomal RNA", at positions 25 to 1521 of the family's 3401-position model. Lineage: Eukaryota; Metazoa; Platyhelminthes; Rhabdocoela; Kytorhynchidae. The record is from RNAcentral.